UCGAGGAUCUUCGGCAAUGGGCGCAAGCCUGACCGAGCGACGCCGCGUGUGCGAUGAAGGCCUUCGGGUUGUAAAGCACUGUCGAGGGGAAGAAAGCUCCGCAAGGAGUUGAUCGACCCCUGGAGGAAGCACGGGCUAAGUUCGUGCCAGCAGCCGCGGUAAGACGAACCGUGCAAACGUUAUUCGGAAUCACUGGGCUUAAAGGGCGCGUAGGCGGGCCAGCAAGUCAGGGGUGAAAUCUUUCAGCUCAACUGGAAAAGGGCCUUUGAUACUGCUGGUCUCGAGGGAGGUAGGGGCAUGCGGAACUUCCGGUGGAGCGGUGAAAUGCGUAGAUAUCGGAAGGAACGCCGGUGGCGAAAGCGGCGUGCUGGACCUCUUCUGACGCUGAGGCGCGAAAGCUAGGGGAGCAAACGG
Molecule: ribosomal RNA, 414 nt
Filed under: uncultured bacterium
Lineage: Bacteria
Description: bacterial SSU rRNA
Rfam family: Bacterial small subunit ribosomal RNA
Source: RNAcentral